This is a long non-coding RNA of Aethalodelphis obliquidens (Pacific white-sided dolphin), 786 nucleotides long. RefSeq lists it as uncharacterized. The record is from RefSeq and is a predicted model, not a curated record. Lineage: Eukaryota; Metazoa; Chordata; Mammalia; Artiodactyla; Delphinidae. The transcript is spliced from 2 exons.
CCCGACCCCGGACCUCACCUCUUGGGCCUCCACAGCAGACCAGAGAGCAGAGCUGCGUCUUCCGCCCGGGCAGGGGGUGGGGUCACGUCCUGGGGCGGGGCCUUGGAGAGUGGGGGCCGGGCGGGCCCAGAGCCCCGCGCCAGGUCGCCCUCGCCCACCGAACCCCGGCUGGAGGACACUAGACCCUGGGAAGGGCCCGCCCGACAUCCCUCCAUCCCUUCCCGGCUUGGCCCCGGGUCUUUUUCUGAGACGCGCGCCGAGCCAGCGCCCACAGCUAAGCCUUCGCCGCUUUCCGCUGAACUCUGGGGAAAAGAUGGAAACUAUCUGUCUUGGCUGUGAUGAAAUGCGUCAGUGUGUAAGCAGAUACGGUAGGUUUCCUGGGAGAGAGAACCAGGCAUGGCUUUCUUAACAGAAGCCAUUUUUUGGCCUAAGCCGUUUUGUGAUCUAAGCUGGGCCACAAUGCUUUGCCCUUGAACAGGUCUCAGUAAUUGAUGAUCUUAAGGGAACAAAAGAACGCAGAAACAAACGACUGUAAUCAGACAAGAGAAGUAACAACAGCAAAAAUAAUGUUCCAGUUGUAAAGACUCCCGGUUCUGUUUCAAUGGUGACGAUUAGCCUGAAGCCGCAACCACCAGACCUACCGGAAUCUAAGGGGUGAAGAUGACCUUUUCUGACCCUCCUGACUUCAAUCAAAUGAACCCAGGACUCUGCGGGGAGACACUGCUUUGGAGAAGAUCCCCAGUGUUCCCCUUACUUGCAGCCAGAAAUAAACCCUUCCUUUCCGGA